Molecule: ribosomal RNA, 301 nt
Filed under: uncultured bacterium
Lineage: Bacteria
Description: partial 16S ribosomal RNA
Rfam family: Bacterial small subunit ribosomal RNA
Source: RNAcentral
CAGUCGCCGCGGUAAUACAGAGGGUGCAAGCGUUAAUCGGAAUUACUGGGCGUAAAGCGCGCGUAGGUGGUUUGUUAAGUUGGAUGUGAAAGCCCCGGGCUCAACCUGGGAACUGCAUCCAAAACUGGCGAGCUAGAGUAUGGUAGAGGGUGGUGGAAUUUCCUGUGUAGCGGUGAAAUGCGUAGAUAUAGGAAGGAACAUCAGUGGCGAAGGCGACCACCUGGACUGAUACUGACACUGAGGUGCGAAAGCGUGGGGAGCAAACAGGAUUAGAUACCCGCGUAGUCCCUGUCUCUUAUAC